AUUGAACGCUGGCGGCAUGCUUUACACAUGCAAGUCGAACGGCAGCGCGGGCUUCGGCCUGGCGGCGAGUGGCGAACGGGUGAGUAAUGCAUCGGAACGUGCCCAGUAGUGGGGGAUAGCCCGGCGAAAGCCGGAUUAAUACCGCACACGACCUGAGGGUGAAAGCGGGGGACCGAAAGGCCUCGCGCUAUUGGAGCGGCCGAUGUCGGAUUAGCUAGUUGGUGGGGUAAAGGCUUACCAAGGCGACGAUCCGUAGCUGGUCUGAGAGGACGACCAGCCACACUGGGACUGAGACACGGCCCAGACUCCUUCGGGAGGCAGCAGUGGGGAAUUUUGGACAAUGGGGGCAACCCUGAUCCAGCCAUGCCGCGUGCGGGAAGAAGGCCUUCGGGUUGUAAAACGCUUUUGUUCGGGAAGAAAUCCUCUGGGCUAAUACCCCGGGGGGAUGACGGUACCGGAAGAAUAAGCACCGGCUAACUACGUG
This 484-nucleotide ribosomal RNA is filed under the name uncultured bacterium. Its description in RNAcentral is "partial 16S ribosomal RNA". It matches the Rfam family "Bacterial small subunit ribosomal RNA", at positions 28 to 507 of the family's 1533-position model. The record is from RNAcentral.